Molecule: ribosomal RNA, 249 nt
Filed under: uncultured bacterium
Lineage: Bacteria
Description: partial 16S ribosomal RNA
Rfam family: Bacterial small subunit ribosomal RNA
Source: RNAcentral
UACGAAGGGGCUAGCGUUGCUCGGAAUCACUGGGCGUAAAGCGCACGUAGGCGGCUUUCUAAGUCAGGGUGAAAUCCUGGAGCUCAACUCCAGAACUGCCUUUGAUACUGGAGAGCUAGAGUCCGGAAGAGGUGAGUGGAACUGCGAGUGUAGAGGUGAAAUUCGUAGAUAUUCGCAAGAACACCAGUGGCGAAGGCGGCUCACUGGUCCGGUACUGACGCUGAGGUGCGAAGCGUGGGAGCAAACAGG